GAGAUAUUAGUAUAUUGUAGUAUUUUUUAUUUUCGAUAAAGGGGUUUAAUAUCUUG
This 56-nucleotide transfer RNA is filed under the name Angiostrongylus costaricensis. RNAcentral describes it as "tRNA-Glu". Lineage: Eukaryota; Metazoa; Nematoda; Chromadorea; Rhabditida; Metastrongylidae. The record is from RNAcentral.